This is a long non-coding RNA of Canis lupus familiaris (dog), 701 nucleotides long. RefSeq lists it as uncharacterized. The record is from RefSeq and is a predicted model, not a curated record. The transcript is spliced from 5 exons. NCBI's taxonomy places the organism in Eukaryota, Metazoa, Chordata, Mammalia, Carnivora, Canidae.
CAUAAAGAGGGUUAGAGACUUGCCCUUGUCCCUCAACUCACAAGUGGAAGAGCUGAGAUUCACAUCCAGAGGAUUGUCUACCUUCACGUAUUUUUAACAGUGAGCUGCAGAAGAGUAAAUCCCUGGCCAGUUAACAGUAUUGAAAUGACCGAACAGCUUCUCUCUUGAAAAACAAGACUAAUGGUCUGUGGGAAUUCUGGGAAGGUGGUAGAGAAGCAUCAGGUGUUAUAGGAGAAAAGGCCUUCAAUUGUCUUAAGGAUGGUGUGAGAAGCUUACUCCUCCUGAAUCCCAGCCAGGACCAACUAGACAUUUGGUUGAAGAUGGACGGUGUGUUAAAGAAGUGGAUGGCAUAUAGAAGCAUGGAUUCUGGACAUGGCUGUGCCACUAAGUACAGAAGUAACAUGAGUGAGAAUAUAGAUCAGCACCCCCUUUCUAAAGAAGAGGAAACACACUUCACAUAACUUAUUCUCUUCAAUCUGAUAGUGACAAAGCUCUGCCUAAAUCUGUAUUCUUUGGAGUCUAGUAUAACUUUUUUCCCCACUGCAUCAAAGCAGGAAGUCUUUCCUUAUGUUUAAAUAAUUCUCUUUUGUGAUUUAGAUCCUUCCUUCUUGUUCUGGCCUCGGCAAGGACCAGACCAGGAGAGCAGCUGGUCACCAUUUUUUAUAUGUGAACAUUAUAAAUAAAACGUUUUCCAAACCUGC